This 4416-nucleotide long non-coding RNA is filed under the name Mytilus galloprovincialis (Mediterranean mussel). Lineage: Eukaryota; Metazoa; Mollusca; Bivalvia; Mytilida; Mytilidae. The record is from RNAcentral.
AAUAUUUCCUUAGAUUGGGGAUAACUUUCGUACUGGUAAGUUGUACUUUAAAUUUCACUUUAUUUAUUUUCAAUGUUUGACUUAAAUAUGUCCAUUUAUUUACAUUUGAUUAUUUUGUUUUGAGUCAUACAUUUCUUAAUUCAUAAAUGUACGUUUCCGUUCCAAAAAAUAGCAAUCAGCAAGUUUUCGUACAAAUAAACAGUCUAACCAAUAAAAUUGCACAUAUCUGUACCGCGCUGAAGUGCAGCUAAAGUACGUCCAUUAUUCAUUUUUCAUUAUUCAAAAUUCAAUAAUGAAUAAUGAAAUAGUUCACUAUUCACUAUUCAAUGUUUAGUAAUGAAUAAUGAAAAAGUUUGUUUAAUUAUUCAAGUUGAAGCGGCGAAUAGUAAAAAAAAUGACCGUGACACUGAAGAAUAGUGAAAAUUAAUAAAAAGACAACGUAGAGUAUUUUGAUUAAUAUAUAUAUCUGGUGUACAAAAAAAAUGUUUGCUCCUCAUGUUUGUGGUAUAACAUCUUUGCUGCAAGUUAAAGUUUAUUGUUUUUUUUCUGUUUAGUAUAAAAUUCAUAUUAACAUCCAUUUUGUAACAUCUUGUGAUCAAUUUAUUUGGCAAUCGCCAAUGGCAGUCAGCAGGGUUAACCCGUUUAAGAACAUCAGUUGUUCGACCUGGUAGUCAAAUGCGUUUUGUUAAAAUAUACUUUCAACUUUUUUGGUCUUUUGGAAAAUGUUGUUUGUGCUGUAUUUAGACCCUUCUUCAACGAAAUUUGUUUUACAUGCACACGUAUAAAAAUUGUGCGGUUUUUAUCCAACGCAAUCAUAGGUUUGAACGUAGUUUUCAAUUUAGACUUGUUUAUAUUUUUUCGUUUGGGCUUGUAUCAUAUUUUCCCAACAGUUUAUAUGAUCCGUUCAUCCUACUUUGACUGUUUAAAUUCAAGAGUCUAUGAUCCUAAAUUGAGAUAAAUUAUAUGGCAUUCAAAUACCGUUUCGAUCCCUAACAUCACUGAAGAGACAUUUAUUGUCGAAAUCCGGAUCUGGUGUACAAAAAAAUUGUUUGCACCUCAUGUUUGUGGUAUAACAUCUUUGCUGCAAGUUUAUUGUUUUUCUGUAUAGUAUAAAAUUCAUAUUUAGAUCCAUUUUGUUACAUCUUGUGAUCAAUUUAUUUGGCAAUCGCCAAUGGCAGUCAGCAGGGUUUAAGAACAUCAGUUGUUCGACCUGGUAGUCAAAUGCGUUUUGUUAAAAUAUACUUUUCACUUUUUUUUUGGUCUUUUGGAAAAUGUUGUUUGUGCUGUAUUUAGACCCUCCUACAACAAAAUUUGUUUUACAUGCACACGUAUAAAAAUUGCGGUUUUUAUCCAACGCAAUGUCUAAAUUGAAAACUACGUUCAAACCUAUGAUUGCGUUGGAUAAAAACCGCAAUAUAUAUAAACGAGUCUAAAUUGAAAACUACGUUCAAACCUAUGAUUGCGUUGGGAAAAAAAAUGAUCACAAGAUGUAACAAAAUGAAUCUUAAUAUAAAUUUAAUACUAUAAAGUGCCUAACAAGAUUUUGUGAGGGAAUUCGAUGUUUGCUAUACCACUGUUUAUUUCAACGCACUUUAUGACAAUACUUCUGUACCAAUCGAAAUGAAAUUUUUUGCAGUGUUUUGAGAAAUGAUUUUACUUUGUAGAAACGUAUUUUCUGGAAAACAUUUUAUUUUAAAAAGGAUAAAUUUUCUGUAUAAAGUCAAUAAUUAUGUCGACUUUUGAAGCCCAAACUUUGUAUGGCCUUAAAUACAUAAAUGAAAGAUAAAAAAAACUGUACCAAUACAGAACGACAUGUUAAUGAAAUUUAGCAAAACUUUUGGUUGACAAAUUUUUAUUCGUUAUCGCAAAAAAAAAAUAAUUUUGAAUAUCUUACAUUUUCUUCCUACCCAGUUUACCCCUAUUACUUAUUACAAUGUGGACCGGUCAUUGUUAUUAAAUAUUACGCAAUUUGAUUGGGUUAAGUUAUUAUUAGUUUACCUUCAAACUGUUUAUACUUUUCAACAUGACUAUGAUUAAAUCAGAACGUGCAUGAAUGUGACAGUAACUAAAAUGACCUUCAAACUUACACUGGAUGAGUCCAUGUUAUGUUUAUCAAUGAAAGUAUAGGUAUGAAAGGUAAUAAAUGCCAAUUCUCCUAUUUUCACAAAAUUUUCAAAAUACACAGUAAAUAAAUUAUUUUUUAAUAGUCAAUUGCGGAGAAAAACAGAAAAAGUUUACAAAUAAAACGUUUUAUUCCAAUCACCAAGUCAUUUUUCGGAGAGAAAUGCCGAAAUACACUUUACACACGGCUACGCCAGGUAACAUUAUUAUACCCCACGCAACGAAGUUGCGGAGGGUAUAAUGUUUUUGACCCGUCCGUCCGUCAGUCCGUCAGUCCUGUUUCUUGUCAUCGCAACUCCUCUCAAACCACACAACAGAAUUUCACGAAACCUUUUCAGAUAAUACAUACUAUGUAGUUGUGCAUAUCGACGGGAAAUUGUGAUUCAAUUUUUUUUCUAGGAGUUACGCCCCUUUGAACUUAUUUACUUUAAUGUACUACUGCAACAGUUUGUCAUCGCAACUCCUCUCAAACCACACACAGAAUUUCACGAAACCUUUUCAGAUAAUAAGGACAUACUAUGUAGUUGUGCAUAUCGACGGGAAAUUGCGAUUCAAUUUUUUUCUAGGAGUUACGCCCCUUUGAACUUAUUUACUUUAAUGUACUACUGCAACAGUUUGUCAUCGCAACUCCUCUCAAACCACACAACAGAAUUUCACGAAACCUUUUCAGAUAAUAAGGACAUACUAUGUAGUUGUGCAUAUCGACAGGAAAUUGCGAUUCAAUUUUUUUUCUAGGAGUUGCACCCCUUUGAACUUAUUUACUUUAAUGUACUACUGCAACAGUUUGUCAUCGCAACUCCUCUCAAACCACACAACAGAAUUUCACGAAACUUUGUAGAUAAUAAGGACAUACUAUGUAGAUGUGCAUAUCAACAGGAAAUUACGGUUCAAUUUUUUUCUAGGAGUUAAGCCCCUUUGAACUUAUUUGCUUCAAUGUACUUCUGCAACAGUUUGUCAUCUCAACUCCUCUCAAACCACACAACAGAAUUUCACGAAACCUUUUCAGAUAAUAAGGACAUACUAUGAAGUUGUGCAUAUCGACGGGAAAUUGCGAUUCAAUUUUUUUUCAAGGAGUUACGCCCCUUUGAACUUAUUUACUUUAAUGUACUACUGCAACAGUUUGUCAUCGCAACUCCUCUCAAACCACACAACAUAAUUUCACGAAACUUUGUAGAUAAUAAGGACAUACUAUGUAGAUGUGCAUAUCAACAGGAAAUUACGGUUCAAUUUUUUUUCUAGGAGUUAAGCCCCUUUGAUCUUAUUUGCUUCAAUGUACUUCUGCAAUAGUUUGUCAUCUUAACUCCUCUGAAAACACACAACAGAAUUUCAUGAAAUUUUGUAGAUAAUAAGGACAUACUAUGUAUAUUGACAGGAAAUUAUUAUUCAAUAUUUUUUCUUAUACUUAUUUAAUUUCUCCAAUGACAAUGUGGGGAUGUGGGGUAUGUGAGCGUGCUCACUGAAAGGUUCUUUAAUUAUUCAUCUUACAAAAAACAACAUUUUCCAGUCUCAUUAGCACAUACUUACAACUUCUCGUCCAAUCAAAUUGCUUGAAUUUGCCUUCUAAUUUUCAUAGUACAUACUUUUUCCGUGUACUAAGUAACUACGCAUGAAUGACCACAAGGGUAAGAUUUCAUAGUUAGGAAAAUCCACUGGUUGAUCCUCCGAAACUAAAUAAAGAAAUAAAAUUAAACUUUUAAGAGUGUUUAUACUUUUUGUUCUGAUAUUAAUUUGAACAUUUGUUAGAUAACACCAAUAUGACGAAUUUAGAAAUACGAAAUAUAGCUAUAGUGUCACGGUCAUUUUUUUUAAUUUUUAUUUCACUAUUCACCGCUUCAACUUGAAUAAUGAAACAUAACUAUUUCAUUAUUUAUUAUUGAAUUUUGAAUAAUGAAAAAUGAAAAAUGAAAAAUGGACGUACGUCAGCGCGGUCAUAUCUGUUUACAAAUUUGCAGAUUUGGGCAAACAACUAUAUAUAGACUGACUGUGUACUGCGAAAGUACAAUCCAAGAUGGCGGUACCUGCUGUUAUUCUAAAAUUGUUUUUUGAUAUUUCUUAUUUUUUUCGUGUCAUGAGUGUUAAAAAAUAUGUACAGAAAAAUUGUUUGUUGCUUUUUCGUAGAAUUCAUACACUGAAAGAAGAACGUCAUUACAGUGGUAGUCAGGAUGCUUACGUGUCAAACGAUCCUCAUUUUCUUGGCCAUGUAUUUGCCCUUCAUAGCGUGCAGUUCAAAGUCAUGUGUUAUGGACAUAUUAGAUGAUUUUGAACAAAUGAAAGUGGACGUGGCAAGGUCUAAAG